Molecule: long non-coding RNA, 851 nt
Organism: Glossina fuscipes
Lineage: Eukaryota; Metazoa; Arthropoda; Insecta; Diptera; Glossinidae
Exons: 2
Source: RefSeq, a predicted model, not a curated record
AAAACAAUAACGAAAAAAAAAAAAAAAAAAAAAUGUAAGAAAAGAAAAGCAUAAUUUUAUGAAGUAGAAAAACUGGAACAAAACUUACUCUUCUCCGUCGCUCUGGCAAAUGGUGACAUGACCGUCGCGAAUAAUAAUAAUAAUAAAGUAAAAACAGAAUAAAAAAAAAAAAAUACAAAAGCUUAUUAGCAUUACAUUAAACAAAGUAACAAAAGUUAUGGAGACGCGAGAUAGAGAGACAAAAACACGCACACACAUCUACAUCUACAAAUGGAAUUUAUAGUAGAUGAGACAGUAACUAAAUGAAGCUUGAAAUCGCUGCGCGAUAUAGUUUUUUUUAUUAUACUUGAUAACAAGAUUGUUUUGACUCCUGCGAAAUAAUGGCUGACCAUUGUACGUUAAUAUGUCCUUCAAGUUUAUAUUUAGUAAAGCGUCAUCAUAAUAUAUAUAUAAUAACUUUUAAAACACACAUGCAAACGUAAAAAAUGCAAUUAAACUCAAUUAAGUUCAUCAUCAUCAUCAUCAUGAUCUUUAUCAUAAGCAUUAUCAUUAGCAUUAAUAAUAUCGUAAGGAUGUGAAGAUAAAUUCAAAUUCAAUUAGCAAAGGCAUCUACCAUCUCUCUUAGCAUAGCUGUGUAAACGUCCUAAGAUUAAAAACUCUAUUAAGUAGUUAUAAUUAGAAGGCAGACAGAUUUGAAAGCCUGCUCCGUCUAAAUUAGAAAUCGUGUAGACAUUGAUUUUCUUGGCCGCUUCGUGAAUUUAUAUGAAAGCACCUUUCAAACGAGCUUAACGAAUACAAAUCGUAUUUGUAGGAAGUACUUCUAACAAUUUCUUGAAAUUUGGUAUGUGACC